GAGAGUGUUUUCUCGCCCCCAUGUGGGAAUUGAACCCCCGCCCCAUAUUUUCUAGGGGGGGCCAGCAGUAGGGAUUCUUCCCACAAGGGAAGAAAUUUUUGAAGGAACAACCGCCGCUUGAAUGAAAGAAGGGUUCUGGCCUAGAAAAACUUUGUUUUUAAAGAAGAACAUUUCUGAGAGUAACUGUUCAGGUAUUGACGGUAUUUAACCAGAAAGCCAGGGCUAACUACGUGCCAGCAGCCGCGGUAAUACGUAGGUGGCCAGCGUUGUCCGGAUUUAUUGGGCGUAAAGCGAGCGCAGGCGGUUUUUUAAGUCUGAUGUGAAAGCCUUCGGCUCAACCGAAGAAGUGCAUCGGAAACUGGGAAACUUGAGUGCAGAAGAGGACAGUGGAACUCCAUGUGUAGCGGUGAAAUGCGUAGAUAUAUGGAAGAACACCAGUGGCGAAGGCGGCUGUCUGGUCUGUAACUGACGCUGAGGCUCGAAAGUAUGGGUAGCAAACAGGAUUAGAUACCCUGGUAGUCCAUACCGUAAACGAUGAAUGCUAAGUGUUGGAGGGUUUCCGCCCUUCAGUGCUGCAGCUAACGCAUUAAGCAUUCCGCCUGGGGAGUACGGCCGCAAGGCUGAAACUCAAAGGAAUUGACGGGGGCCCGCACAAGCGGUGGAGCAUGUGGUUUAAUUCGAAGCUACGCGAAGAACCUUACCAGGUCUUGACAUACUAUGCAAAUCUAAGAGAUUAGACGUUCCCUUCGGGGACAUGGAUACAGGUGGUGCAUGGUUGUCGUCAGCUCGUGUCGUGAGAUGUUGGGUUAAGUCCCGCAACGAGCGCAACCCUUAUUAUCAGUUGCCAGCAUUAAGUUGGGCACUCUGGUGAGACUGCCGGUGACAAACCGGAGGAAGGUGGGGAUGACGUCAAAUCAUCAUGCCCCUUAUGACCUGGGCUACACACGUGCUACAAUGGAUGGUACAACGAGUUGCGAACUCGCGAGAGUAAGCUAAUCUCUUAAAGCCAUUCUCAGUUCGGAUUGUAGGCUGCAACUCGCCUACAUGAAGUCGGAAUCGCUAGUAAUCGCGGAUCAGCAUGCCGCGGUGAAUACGUUCCCGGGCCUUGUACACACCGCCCGUCACACCAUGAGAGUUUGUAACACCCAAAGUCGGUGGGGUAACCUUUAGGAACCAGCCGCCUAAGUGAACAGAGUGGGA
Molecule: ribosomal RNA, 1200 nt
Filed under: Lactiplantibacillus plantarum
Lineage: Bacteria; Bacillati; Bacillota; Bacilli; Lactobacillales; Lactobacillaceae
Description: bacterial SSU rRNA
Rfam family: Bacterial small subunit ribosomal RNA
Source: RNAcentral